UAGCGAACAAGUACCGUGAGGGAAAGUUUCAAAGCACUUUGAAAAGAGGGUGAAAAGAACCUGAAACCGUUAUGGGGGAAGCGUAUUGGGUCAAAUUGAUUUGGGGGAGUGCUGCUGUUCAACGGGGUGAUUCCCGUGUACUCAGUGCAUUUUCUUACCCGUCGUGUGCUUUGGAUGGUCGAUUUUGGGCUGUCUGGGGCUGAGGGAUCCCCUUUUAUAGGGUGAAGACGAUGGGGCGCUGACACGAUACGACCCGUCUUGAAACACGGACCAAGGAGUUCAGCAUGUGUGCGAGUCAAAGGGUGAUUAAACCUGGGGGCGCAGUGAAAGCAACUUUUGUGUAAGGGAAUCCAACAUUAAGCAGUUUCAGGCGGCAUACGAUCGUUGAUUGUAGGACUGACCUAGAGCACAUGUGCUGAGACCCGAAAGAUGGUGAACUAUGCCGGAGUAGGGCGAAGCCAGAGGAAACUCUGGUGGAGGCUCGUAGCGGUGCUGACGUGCAAAUCGCUCGUCUGACUCGGGUAUAGGGGCGAAAGACUAAUCGAACCAUCUAGUAGCUGGUUUCCUCCGAAGUUUCUCUCAGGAUAGCAGGCCGACGAAUAAGCAUGAAGUCUCAGUUGUUGUGUGCGGUAAAGCGAAUGAUUAGCGUAUUUGGGGGUGAUUAGCCUUC
This 670-nucleotide ribosomal RNA is filed under the name Cryptopleura ramosa. Its description in RNAcentral is "eukaryotic LSU rRNA". It matches the Rfam family "Eukaryotic large subunit ribosomal RNA", at positions 338 to 1048 of the family's 3401-position model. The record is from RNAcentral. Lineage: Eukaryota; Rhodophyta; Florideophyceae; Ceramiales; Delesseriaceae.